This 76-nucleotide transfer RNA is filed under the name Pseudomonadota bacterium. RNAcentral's name for it is "Proteobacteria bacterium tRNA-Val". It matches the Rfam family "tRNA". From Rfam's summary of the family: Transfer RNA (tRNA) molecules are approximately 80 nucleotides in length. Their secondary structure includes four short double-helical elements and three loops (D, anti-codon, and T loops). The record is from RNAcentral. Lineage: Bacteria; Pseudomonadati; Pseudomonadota. RNAcentral also lists the same sequence under 4 other names.
GGUCUGUUAGCGCAGUUGGUAGCGCGUUCCCUUGACAUGGGAGAGGUCACAAGUUCGAGUCUUGUACAGACCACCA